RNAcentral lists this unclassified non-coding RNA (414 nucleotides) under Hevea brasiliensis (rubber tree). The record is from RNAcentral. Lineage: Eukaryota; Viridiplantae; Streptophyta; Magnoliopsida; Malpighiales; Euphorbiaceae.
UUCAACUAUAUGGGCAAGAGCCUUCUCACCAAUGGAUAAGAAUCCCUUCCUCUUGAAUUCUCUGUCCUUUCUCCACCCUAGGCCGAAGCCUCUACAUACCUCCAAUUCUUGAGUGCCUUUAAUCAUCGCAUCUCCAUGCUUGAACUUGAAAUUUUCAAAUCAUCAAUCUCUCCAAUCUUCAUCUUGGGUGUAACUUAUUUCUUCAAAAAAUUUUCGCGUCAUCUAUCUUCUUGAUUUUGCAUCAAGAGCUCCACUUCAAUUUCAACUCUCCAUCAUUACUAUUAUUACAUGUGCGACUUUACAUGUCCCAGUAGCUUCACCCUCAACAAAACUCACCAAGAUUAUCCCCAUGCUCUGAUACUAAUUUGUUGUGCAUUGCGGAAGCGUGUAAACUGUAAAAAAAUAAAGCAAAUA